GUCCGCACGAGCGCAACCCUCGUCCUUAGUUGCCAGCAUUAAGUUGGGGACUCUAGGGAGACCGCCGGGGAGAACUCGGAGGAAGGUGGGGAUGACGUCAAGUCAGCAUGCCCCUUACGUCUUGGGCUACACACGUACUACAAUGGUUGGGACAAAGGGGAGCGAAGCCGCGAGGUGGAGCGAAUCUCAUCAAACCCAGCCACAGUUCAGAUUGCAGGCUGAAACUCGCCUGCAUGAAGGAGGAAUCGCUAGUAAUCGCAGGUCAGCAUACUGCGGUGAAUCCGUUCCCGGGUCUUGUACACACCGCCCGUCACACCAUGGAAGUUGGUCACGCCCGAAGUCGUUAUUCUAACCCAAGUGGAAGGAGACGCCGAAGGUGGGACUAGUGACUGGGGUG
This 397-nucleotide ribosomal RNA is filed under the name Cyanobacterium sp. NBRC 102756. Its description in RNAcentral is "bacterial SSU rRNA". It matches the Rfam family "Bacterial small subunit ribosomal RNA", at positions 1084 to 1482 of the family's 1533-position model. The record is from RNAcentral. Lineage: Bacteria; Bacillati; Cyanobacteriota; Cyanophyceae; Chroococcales; Geminocystaceae.